RNAcentral lists this ribosomal RNA (313 nucleotides) under uncultured eukaryote. RNAcentral's name for it is "partial 18S ribosomal RNA". It matches the Rfam family "Eukaryotic small subunit ribosomal RNA", at positions 1470 to 1796 of the family's 1831-position model. The record is from RNAcentral.
CCCUUAGAUGUUCUGGGCCGCACGCGCGCUACACUGAAUGGAUCAACGUGUUUUCCCUUCCCGAGAGGGACGGGUAACCCGCUGAACCCCAUUCGUGGUAGGGAUCGGAGCUUGCAAUUGUUCUCCGUGAACCAGGAAUUCCCAGUAAGCGCAAGUCAUCAACUUGCAUUGAUUACGUCCCUGCCCUUUGUACACACCGCCCGUCGCACCUACCGAUUGAAUGGUCCGGUGAAGCCUCCGGAUUGGCGCGCACCUCGGUGCCGCCGAGAAGUUGGCUAAACCUUACCAUUUAGAGGAAGGUGAAGUCGUAACA